UUUUGGUCCGUUUGUGGGGCCCGCUUUUGUCCUGAUUUUUCUCGUUCUUUCCAACACACGCGUAGAGAGAGAGAGAGAGAGAGAGAUAGGGGGUGCGGGAGGUAGAGUGGGAGAGAGAUUUAGAGGCGAUUUCGCCGCGGUGAGGAGUGCGGCUCGCCGUGGCGGAGAUUUCGUCGUGCCGGUGCUGAUCUGUGUCGUGUUUGAGUUUGUUUUUCGCCGGUGAGGAGCUCCUGCUCAACGGAUUUUUCCACUGUGUCGAGUUAUUCGUCGUUGAAGAUUCAUUUGGCCAGUUUUUUUUUGUUUUUUUUCAUGUUCAUCACUGCCUCCUCCUCUAUUUUUUCGCCAUGCCGGUGCCGAUCUGUUCGUUGACAUCGUUUUUGUCGGUGAGGAGGGUAUGAUGUACCACGUUUUCCACUGUGUCGAGCUGGUCAUAGACGUAGGUUUUUUUUUUGGCGAUUUGUUCAUGUCGUUCUCCAUUUUUUCCUUCCAAUAGAUCUAGCUUGGACAUGCACCAUUUAUGUUUGAUUUUUUUGAUUUUUUGUGAAUAGGUUGUGUUCUAGAUUCAUUUGUUUUUGUUUUUUUCAUGUUCCUCCCCACGUCCUUCUUCAUUUAUUUCUUCGAAUAGAUCUAGCUAGGACUUGCACAAAUUAUGUAACCCCAUCUCAUUUGCUACUUCCCUAACCUAUUUGUUUUUUUAGAUCUGCUUUGUUUCAUGUUUUCAAUGCUAUUUUUAUUUUUUUUUCAUGUUGUUUAAUGUUCGAUUUGCAGCUGUUUUCUGGUUUUUUUUUUGUCUUACUUUGUGUAUUUGUUAUAUGAGGCGCAGAUCUGCUUAAUUCAUCGAAGAUGGGUAAUGAUAAGGACAUUGAGGAUAUUUUGUCUGAUUCUAUUUCUUCUGAGUCUGAUAGUUCUACAAAUGAUGAAUGCUAUUCUGAUAGUGAUGAAUCUAAAGAUCCUUGUAAUGUAAUAUCAAAGGAUGAGUUAAUGUUGUUUUAAUAUUCAACUUGAUUCGGCUCAGAUCUGGAUUAUUUGUAGCUUUUCCUUGAAUCCAACUAUACUUAGUAGGAACAAUCUUAUGGUUGAUGUGAAAUACUGCAUGUGCAUGUGUUUGUUUUUUCCCCUAUAUAUGUGAAAUGAUGUUUUUCUAUUUUCUUAGGAACAUAUCUAUUGUAUAUACACCAUUAUUGAUGCAUUUAAUAUUUGCUAGUAUUUCAUUCUUAUUGUUUACACACCAUUAUUUGUAUUUUUUUCCUUUUUUUUUUGCUUUACUCAGUUAUCAACCUGUGAUAAUUAGUUGGUUCUCUGUUUUUGUUCAUAUGUUUUCAUUUGAUAUGAUCCCCAUGUAAUGUUCCAUUUGUCCAAAUCUGAAGCAUUUCUUUUGUUGUCUUCAAUUGCUGCUGCUAUUGCUGCAAAAUGAUUGUAGGGUGUGUGUAGAGAUUUCAACCAAUUUAAGGUUUAAGCUAUGGGCUUCUAUGUCCAAUGGUCUUUUUCUCUUAUUAAAUGACUUAUUUAGUACUCCAUUAAUAUUGGCAAGCAUGAACAUCGUUGCUGCUCAUGUUGAAGUACAACCUCAUUUACAUGUAUAAAAUGAACACCAUGUGUUUAUGCGUCUCCUAAUUAAGACCAGUGAAUUUUCUUCUGCUUUCUUUGUCUAUCUACAACAAAAAUAUUUUUGCUUUUUGCUGUCUCCUGUGUGUGUAUACUUAUGUUUAUAGCAACUUAUGUCUCAAAGAAUAUUAUUCCAACAUUGAACAUGUAGUUUAUUUAUGUUCACACAAAUCAUCUAGUUUAUUUUUGUAGAUAAACUGGAGUAUAUUUAUGCUAUUAAUCUCACACGUCAAAUUUGCAAAUUUGCUCCAACAAACUGACAUGGCACAGACUUUGAAUUGAAGUUAUUUAUUUUUCUUGUUGAAAUAAUUGUUCCAUAGGAUUGGUUUCAAAUUUUAUUUUCUACUUGCAUUAUUCUGCUUGUUGUGUAGAUUCCUAACUAUGAAAUGCAUUGUCUAGGUAUAUAAUUGCAUAUCUCUUUAGUUUUAUAAAUUUGAUUCAAAAUUGAAGUGUACUGGAUUGGAGGAUUACUUGAAGAAUAAUCUUCCAGUUGGCUGAGGACACAUUUUAUAAUAGAAAUCAUGAUCUAAAAUAAACAUAUGGAAUCAGUUACAUGAGCUUUAUAUUGAAGUUACAGAGUUUUUUCCAAUGUAAUUCCUAUACAAUUUCACUGUAAUUUGAUUAGAUAAGUUAAAGGUCAGAUUUAAUUUCAUAAUAAGAUUUAAAGUUUUAUCCCAAUUGAUGAUAUUACUCAUAAGCAAAUCAUAGUUUUGCAGUUCAUCUGUUCAGAAGCAUGCAGAGUUAGAGUUGAAGAAUUUGGUACCUAUCAUGUGUAGUGAUAUGUCUGAAUUAUGAUUUCUGAUUUGAGCUAUAUGCCUGUUUCUUAAGAAAAUUCAAAACAAGUUAGUGUCUGACAUGACAAUCUACCUUAUAUCAAUCUCAUUUGACAGAAAUGUAGAUCAAUAUUCAGAAGAUUUGAGUUAAGUUUUGUGAUUUAUUCUGAUGAAGAUUCAUAUCAAGAAGGUUCAAAGAAGAUUCAGAACAAGAAUCAGAAGACUAAACCAAAGAAGAAUGAAUUUUAAUUUGGAUGCAAUUUGAAGAUCAAGAAACAAAUGAACAAGUCACUGGAUUCAGAAGAAGAAGAUUUGUUAAAUAGAUUUGAUGCAUCAACCAGAUUCAGAAGAUUCUUUUUCUUCUUGAAUAGUGUUUUGGGUUAUCUAUCUUUGUUAGUGUUUUGGGUUUUGUAUAUAUUGUUAGUUAAGUUGCUGGGCUAAAUUUGAGUCAGUUCUUUUGUUUUGGGCCUUUAAAUUGACUACAGUGUUAAUUUGGGCUUUCAUUUGAUGUAAAUUUUGUAUUUGGGCUCAAUCUGGACUAUUUGAUUGGGUCGAGUUGUAUUUGAGCCCUUCGAAAAUGGGCUUCCAAACCUAUUUGUUAUUGUUUAUCUAUGUAUUUUUAAUUUUUAUUUGUCAAA
This is a non-coding RNA of Oryza sativa Japonica Group (Japanese rice), 3016 nucleotides long. The record is from RefSeq and is a predicted model, not a curated record. NCBI's taxonomy places the organism in Eukaryota, Viridiplantae, Streptophyta, Magnoliopsida, Poales, Poaceae.